UCCGGNAUCGCCCUUAUGGGGAAAGGUUUACUGCCGAAGGAUCGGCCCGCGUCUGAUUAGACUUGUUGGUGGGGUAACGGCCUACCAAGGCGACGAUCAGUAGCUGGUCUGAGAGGAUGAUCAGCCACACUGGGACUGAGACACGGCCCAGACUCCUACGGGAGGCAGCAGUGGGGAAUAUUGGACAAUGGGCGCAAGCCUGAUCCAGCCAUGCCGCGUGAGUGAUGAAGGCCUUAGGGUUGUAAAGCUCUUUUGUCCGGGACGAUAAUGACGGUACCGGAAGAAUAAGCCCCGGCUAACUUCGUGCCANCAGCCGCGGUAAUACGAAGGGGGCUAGCGUUGCUCGGAAUCACUGGGCGUA
Molecule: ribosomal RNA, 361 nt
Filed under: uncultured bacterium
Lineage: Bacteria
Description: bacterial SSU rRNA
Rfam family: Bacterial small subunit ribosomal RNA
Source: RNAcentral